Molecule: unclassified non-coding RNA, 17 nt
Filed under: Mus musculus (house mouse)
Lineage: Eukaryota; Metazoa; Chordata; Mammalia; Rodentia; Muridae
Description: oocyte_clustered_small_RNA1137
Source: RNAcentral
ACCCUCAGUUGUCCGCC